RNAcentral lists this ribosomal RNA (253 nucleotides) under uncultured bacterium. Its description in RNAcentral is "partial 16S ribosomal RNA". It matches the Rfam family "Bacterial small subunit ribosomal RNA", at positions 524 to 776 of the family's 1533-position model. The record is from RNAcentral.
UACGGAGGAUCCAAGCGUUAUCCGGAUUUAUUGGGCUUAAAGGGUGCGUAGGCGGACUGUCAAGUCAGCGGUGAAAGUUCCCGGCUCAACCGGGGAAUUGCCGUUGAAACUGUCAGUCUUGAGUAUAGAUGAGGUGGGCGGAAUUCGUAGUGUAGCGGUGAAAUGCUUAGAUAUUACGAAGAACUCCAAUUGCGAAGGCAGCUCACUGGGCUAUAACUGACGCUGAGGCACGAAGGUGCGGGGAUCAAACAGG